RNAcentral lists this ribosomal RNA (497 nucleotides) under uncultured bacterium. RNAcentral describes it as "partial 16S ribosomal RNA". It matches the Rfam family "Bacterial small subunit ribosomal RNA", at positions 28 to 507 of the family's 1533-position model. The record is from RNAcentral.
GAUGAACGCUGGCGGCGUGCCUAACACAUGCAAGUCGAGCGAACAGACCAGGAGUUUGCUCCUCCGACGUUAGCGGCGGACGGGUGAGUAACACGUGGACAACCUACCUAUAAGACAGGGAUAAUAUCGGCAAAUCGGAGCUAAUACCGGAAAAUAUAUCGAACUGCAUGGUUCAAUAGUGAAAGACGGUUUUGCUGUCACUUAUAGACGGAUCCGCGCCGCAUUAGUUAGUUGGUAAGGUAACGGCUUACCAAGGCAACGAUGGGUAGCCGACCUGAGAGGGUGGUCGGCCACACGGGAUGUGGGACAGAGUCCAGACUCCUGCGGGAAGCAACAGUAGAGAAUCCUACGCAAUGGGGGAGAGCCUGACAGAGCAACGUCGCGGGAGUGAUGAAGGUGUUCGGAUCGUAAAGCGCUGUUGUUAGGAGAGAACAAAUGUGUAUUUAACUGUGCAGAUAUUGACGGUACCUGAAGAAAAAGCCACGGCUAACUACGUG